RNAcentral lists this ribosomal RNA (112 nucleotides) under Chitinophagales bacterium. The record is from RNAcentral. Lineage: Bacteria; Pseudomonadati; Bacteroidota; Chitinophagia; Chitinophagales.
CAUGGUGACUUUGGCGAGCGGGCCCACCUCUUCCCAUUCCGAACAGAGAAGUUAAGCCGCUCAGCGCUGAUGGUACUGCACUACAAUGCGGGAGAGUAAGUCGUCGCCAGAU